GCGUGAAAUAUUCGGGUUACGAGUAAUACGCUGUGUCAAGAAGCAAUCGCCGUAGCGUAUGUCACAAAUGACACAAAUGUUUGUGAGUAAAACACCUUGGAUUUAUUUUAUUUAUGCAAUGACUUUGUGUCAAGAAAUUUGGACUGUGAAUGAAACCCAAAAGUGUUAGAAUCGUGGAACACAUUUGACUGGAAUAAAGAAAUUGACACAAGCAUGAACUUUUUAGAUUGGUGACCGUAUAUUGAGUUAAAAAAAAAUCAACAAACAUACGCAUUUUUAAUUUAUUAAUUUAUAGCAAGCUCUUAGAUUCAGAUUUAGCUUUUAUUUCGUUUUUUGUAGAAAUAGAGAAAAUAUCCUCUGUCCCAAUACCCACGAUAGAGUCAUUAAACAACGUUAUGUUCUACAUUGUAAUUAAGUU
Molecule: long non-coding RNA, 418 nt
Filed under: Mytilus galloprovincialis (Mediterranean mussel)
Lineage: Eukaryota; Metazoa; Mollusca; Bivalvia; Mytilida; Mytilidae
Source: RNAcentral